This 422-nucleotide ribosomal RNA is filed under the name Verrucomicrobiota bacterium. RNAcentral describes it as "Verrucomicrobia bacterium partial 16S ribosomal RNA". It matches the Rfam family "Bacterial small subunit ribosomal RNA", at positions 355 to 776 of the family's 1533-position model. Lineage: Bacteria; Pseudomonadati; Verrucomicrobiota. The record is from RNAcentral.
UGGGGAAUUUUGCACAAUGGGCGCAAGCCUGAUGCAGCGACGCCGCGUGAGGGAUGAAGGCCUUCGGGUUGUAAACCUUUUUCGCUCAUGGUCAAGCCGCAGCUUUGGGUUGUGGUGAGGGUAGUGGGUAAAGAAGCGCCGGCUAACUACGUGCCAGCAGCCGCGGUAAUACGUAGGGCGCGAGCGUUGUCCGGAAUUAUUGGGCGUAAAGGGCUUGUAGGCGGUUGGCCGCGUCUGCCGUGAAAUCCUCUGGCUUAACUGGGGGCGUGCGGUGGGUACGGGUUGACUUGAGUGCGGUAGGGGAGACUGGAAUUCCUGGUGUAGCGGUGGAAUGCGCAGAUAUCCGGAGGAACACCGGUGGCGAAGGCGGGUCUCUGGGCCGUUACUGACGCUGAGGAGCGAAAGCGUGGGGAGCGAACAGG